GUCCACGCUGUAAACGAUGUCUGCUAGCCGUUGGGAUCCUUGAGGUCUCGGUGGCGCAGCUAACGCGAUAAGCAGACCGCCUGGGGAGUACGGCCGCAAGGUUAAAACUCAAAUGAAUUGACGGGGGCCCGCACAAGCGGUGGAGCAUGUGGUUUAAUUCGAUGCAACGCGAAGAACCUUACCAGGUCUUGACAUCCAGAGAACUGUCCAGAGAUGGAUGGGUGCCUUCGGGAACUCUGAGACAGGUGCUGCAUGGCUGUCGU
Molecule: ribosomal RNA, 263 nt
Filed under: uncultured bacterium
Lineage: Bacteria
Description: partial 16S ribosomal RNA
Rfam family: Bacterial small subunit ribosomal RNA
Source: RNAcentral